GAUGAACGCUGGCGGCGUGCCUAAUACAUGCAAGUCGAACGAACAGGCGAGAGGUUUCUUCCUCGGACGUUAGCGGCGGGCGGGUGAGUAACGCGUGGAUACCCUCCCGUAAAGGCGGGGAAAAAUUCGGAACACCGGAGCUAAUACCGGAAAAUAAAUUGAACCGCAUGAUUUACUAGAAAAAGGCGGUUUUGCUAUCACUAGUAGAUCGUUCGUCGCCGCAUGUCCUAGUUGGUAAGGUAACGGAUUACCAAGGCAACGCUGCGUAGCCGACCGGAGAGGGUGAUCGGCCACACUGGAACUGAGACACGGUCCAGACUCCUACGGGAGGCAGCAGUAGGGAAUCUUCCGCAAUGGGCGAAAGCCUGACGGAGCAACGCCGCGUGAGUGAUGAAGGUCUUCGGUUCGUAAACCUCUGUUAUUAGGGAAGAACAAAUGUGUAAGUAAAUAUGCACGUCUUGACGGUACCUAACCAGAAAGCCACGGCUAACUACGUG
RNAcentral lists this ribosomal RNA (497 nucleotides) under uncultured bacterium. RNAcentral describes it as "partial 16S ribosomal RNA". It matches the Rfam family "Bacterial small subunit ribosomal RNA", at positions 28 to 507 of the family's 1533-position model. The record is from RNAcentral.